GGGCUCGUAGCUCAGUUGGUCAGAGCAUUCGGUUUACAUCCGAAGGGUCAGAGGUUCAAAUCCUCUCGAGCCCA
This 74-nucleotide transfer RNA is filed under the name Candidatus Uhrbacteria bacterium RIFCSPLOWO2_02_FULL_48_12. RNAcentral's name for it is "tRNA-Val". It matches the Rfam family "tRNA". Rfam says of the family: Transfer RNA (tRNA) molecules are approximately 80 nucleotides in length. Their secondary structure includes four short double-helical elements and three loops (D, anti-codon, and T loops). The record is from RNAcentral. Lineage: Bacteria; Candidatus Uhriibacteriota.